Non-coding RNA from Drosophila virilis, 639 nucleotides. The record is from RefSeq and is a predicted model, not a curated record. Lineage: Eukaryota; Metazoa; Arthropoda; Insecta; Diptera; Drosophilidae.
AUUUUACGCUUGUGGUUUUCUACUCACAUGUUUGUCGAUUGUUUGCUAAAAGAAAUUCCAUUUUAUUUUAAUAUUGCCAGCUAUUUUUAGUCAGAUUUUUGGCUUAGUUUUAUUGUGAAAGUGUAGCAUCACGAUGUUUGUGGUAGACGAGAUUCAACAGCAAAUAACUGCACGUCAUUCGGACCAUGACGCGAAGCGAGCGGAACGCGCCGAGGAAUACGAGUAUACAAAUAUACUGCGUAUAGAUUUGCAGAUUUGAUAGACAUGCCCCUUGAUAUGCAGGCAUGCGGCAAACUACACAACAAAACGGCGGCAAAUUGAAUUUUGUGUACAAGAAUUGAAUAUUUAAAGAAUCUAAAAGAUAUCAACACAAUUUAACUCAAUAAGAUGAGCAUUGUUUCUCAUUGUUUACUUUCAGCCGCACAUAUCACAAUGCAAAAUUACAAACUUAAGUUGAUUACUAACAAUUUUUGUGGGUAUAUGAAAUGCCAAGGAACGACGUUUUAACCCAUAGAUAUUAUAUUUAGCUAUGUAUAUUAUAAGUGCAUGAGAACUUGUAAAAUCAUGUAACUUGUAUCAAUAUCGCACUUCUAUAUUAUAAAUCAGUUUGAAAAGAAUUGAAAUGAUAACAACAUGAAA